GUGGUCGGUGUACAGGUGGUGCAUGGUUGUCGUCAGCUCGUGUCGUGAGAUGUUGGGUUAAGUCCCGCAACGAGCGCAACCCUCGACCUUAGUUGCCAGCAUUCAGUUGGGCACUCUAAGGUGACUGCCGGCUAAAAGUCGGAGGAAGGUGGGGAUGACGUCAAAUCAUCAUGCCCCUUAUGACCUGGGCUACACACGUGCUACAAUGGGCGGUACAAAGGGUCGCGAACCCGCGAGGGGGAGCCAAUCCCAAAAAGCCGCUCUCAGUUCGGAUUGCAGGCUGCAACUCGCCUGCAUGAAGCCGGAGUUGCUAGUAACCGCAGGUCAGCAAUACUGCGGUGAAUACGUUCCCGGGUCUU
This 359-nucleotide ribosomal RNA is filed under the name uncultured Anoxybacillus sp. Its description in RNAcentral is "bacterial SSU rRNA". It matches the Rfam family "Bacterial small subunit ribosomal RNA", at positions 1023 to 1382 of the family's 1533-position model. Lineage: Bacteria; Bacillati; Bacillota; Bacilli; Caryophanales; Anoxybacillaceae. The record is from RNAcentral.